RNAcentral lists this ribosomal RNA (439 nucleotides) under uncultured bacterium. Its description in RNAcentral is "partial 16S ribosomal RNA". It matches the Rfam family "Bacterial small subunit ribosomal RNA", at positions 338 to 795 of the family's 1533-position model. The record is from RNAcentral.
CCUACGGGAGGCAGCAGUGGGGAAUAUUGCACAAUGGGCGAAAGCCUGAUGCAGCAACGCCGCGUGAGCGAUGAAGGCCUUCGGGUCGUAAAGCUCUGUCCUCAAGGAAGAUAAUGACGGUACUUGAGGAGGAAGCCCCGGCUAACUACGUGCCAGCAGCCGCGGUAAUACGUAGGGGGCUAGCGUUAUCCGGAUUUACUGGGGGAAAGGGGUGCGUAGGUGGCUUGUAAAGUCAGAGGUGAAAGGCUACGGCUCAACCGGAGUAAGCAUUUGAAACUGGGAAACUUGAGUGCAGGAGAGGAAAUUGGAAUUCCUAGUGUAGCGGUGAAAUGCGUAGAUAUUAGGAGGAACACCAGUGGCGAAGGCGGCUCGCUGGACUGUAACUGACGCUGAGGCACGAAAGCGUGGGGAGCAAACAGGAUUAGAUACCCCUGUAGUC